RNAcentral lists this ribosomal RNA (155 nucleotides) under uncultured Citrobacter sp. RNAcentral's name for it is "partial 16S ribosomal RNA". It matches the Rfam family "Bacterial small subunit ribosomal RNA", at positions 377 to 526 of the family's 1533-position model. The record is from RNAcentral. Lineage: Bacteria; Pseudomonadati; Pseudomonadota; Gammaproteobacteria; Enterobacterales; Enterobacteriaceae. RNAcentral also lists the same sequence under 1 other name.
AGCAGUCUGAUGCAGCCCGCCGCGUGUGUGAAGAAGGCCUUCGGAUUGUAAAGUACUUUCGUCGAGGAGGAAGGCGACGGGUUAAUAACCGCAUCGAUUGACGUUACUCGCACAAAAAGCCCCGGCUAACUCCGUGCCAGCAGCCGCGGUAAUAA